This is a non-coding RNA of Castor canadensis (American beaver), 1211 nucleotides long. NCBI's taxonomy places the organism in Eukaryota, Metazoa, Chordata, Mammalia, Rodentia, Castoridae. The record is from RefSeq and is a predicted model, not a curated record.
GUUUAAAAUGUUUUUGCACAAAGAAAUGUGCACUUGAAUGAGUAUAUCUAUAGCAUAAAUUCUUAGAUAAGAGAUUGCUAAAGUUCAAAUAAUGUUAAUAUGUAGAGCCAAAUUGUCCCUCCCAGAAAGCGUUUUGAAGGUUGUAUCCUCACCUUUAUUUAAGAAGACACCUAUCCCCCUCAAUCUCACUAAAUCCUCUCUAUUAUCUACCUAUUUUUAGUAUCUCAUAAGUGACUAGGAUAAAGUGUAAAUAUCCAGAGGCAGGCAUAUAAAGUCAUUUUAAAAUUUGUUCUCGCCUAGUUCUCACCAUUCACACUUUCCAUGGGAACUUCUUUGUCUGCUCCACAGACUUCCUGUCUCUGCCCAAUGUCAACCCAGAUGCCAGGUAUACAGUACAGAUGUCAGCGGAAAAGAGUCUUCCUGACAUGCAGUUGGGUUCUUUUCAGUCAGCACUCUUGUAUACAUCAAGCAAAGGUGAAAGAAGAAUACUAUCCGUACUUUGUGUUUGCCAGUAGUUUCAACUCUGAAUGAAGUCUUUCUGGAAGCUGAUGUUCAAGCAAUUUCAGGGUUAUUGGCCAAUAUGGGUUUUUUCUGAAGCACAUAUUACUGACCAGGUAUUUUGCUUAUUUAUUAUUUUCUUCUCCUUGUAUAGAAUGCAGUCUGACAUAACCAUAGGGCUUUUAUCUUUUUCAUUCACUACUUUGUUCCAGCACCUAAACAGUUCCCUGCAUAAUAGCUGGGGAUGUGGCUCAAGUGGUAGAGUGCAAAGGCCUAAGUUCAAACCACAGUACUGCCAAAACAAUAAACAAAAAUCCAAAACAAACAUAAUAGACACUCAUUAAAUAUUUUUAAUGUGUACUUGGAGCUUUGCUUCUUUCAUUUCCCGUAGUACUUGCCUCCUUCUUAGUGACUGUCCACAUACUAAUUUCAAAAAUCAUACAGCUUUUUGUUUUUUCAUUCAAUGACACUUGUUGGAAGCACAGUAGGAGACUACAUGCAGCUCUGAAUGCCUCAUGGGUAGUUGGGAAUUUUAGAAAGAGUAAGGUGGGGUUGAUGGAUAGAAAAUUACUAAUAGGUACCAUCAAGAUUACCAAGGACUAUUGGCACACCCGUGUGAUGCCAGCAUUUGGUCUGCUGAGGCAGGAUGAUUGUGAGUUCAAGACCAGCCUGGGAUACCUAUUGAGACACUGUCUCAAAGGAACAGAAAAAAA